GCUGGACAUGAUGGCUUGUGCCUAUAGUUCCAGCUACCACGGAUGCCAAGGGAGGAGAAUUGCUUGAGUCCAGGAGUUCUGGGCUAUAGUGUGUUAUGCUGAUUGGGUGUCUGCACUAAGUUCGGCAUCAGUGUGGUGACCUCCUAGGAGUGGGGGACCACCAGGUUGCCUAAGGAGGGUUGAACUGAUGCAGACCAGAAAUGGAGCAGAUCAGAACUCCUGUGCUGAUCAGCAGUGGGAUUGUGCCUAUGAAUAGCACUGCAUUCUAGCCUGGGAAAUACAGCGAGACCCUGUCUUU
RNAcentral lists this signal recognition particle RNA (298 nucleotides) under Microcebus murinus (gray mouse lemur). RNAcentral's name for it is "Metazoan signal recognition particle RNA (ENSMICG00000043688.1)". It matches the Rfam family "Metazoan signal recognition particle RNA". Rfam says of the family: The signal recognition particle (SRP) is a universally conserved ribonucleoprotein. It is involved in the co-translational targeting of proteins to membranes. Lineage: Eukaryota; Metazoa; Chordata; Mammalia; Primates; Cheirogaleidae. The record is from RNAcentral.